This is a non-coding RNA of Paramuricea clavata, 665 nucleotides long. The record is from the annotation of a GenBank genome assembly. NCBI's taxonomy places the organism in Eukaryota, Metazoa, Cnidaria, Anthozoa, Malacalcyonacea, Plexauridae.
CUUAUUCCUCUAGUACUUGGCCAGGAUACCAUUAUAAUACCUCUUACUACCUUAUUCCUUUUGUACUUGGCCACAUAUAUACAAUAUCAUUAUAAUACCAUUAGACACUUAUUCCCUCUUACUCCCUUAUUCCUUUUGUACUUGGCCACAUAUAUACAAUAUCAUUAUAAUACCAUUAGACACUUAUUCCCUCUUACUCCCUUAUUCCUUUAGUACUUGGCCACAAUAUCAUUAUAAUACCAUUAGACUCUUAUUCCCUCUUACUCCCUUAUUACUUUAGUACUUGGCCACAAUAUCAUUAUAAUACUAUUAGACUCUUAUUCCCUCUUACUCCCUUAUUACUUUAGUACUUGGCCACAAUACCAUUAUAAUACCAUUAGACUCUUAUUCCCUCUUACUCCCUUAUUCCUUUAGUACUUGGCCACAAUACCAUUAUAAUACCAUUAGACUCUUAUUCCCUCUUACUCCCUUAUUACUUUAGUACUUGGCCACAAUACCAUUAUAAUACCAUUAGACUCGUAUUCCCUUUAACUCGUUUAUACUAAUUUAGCUGAAAGCAGCAAGUGACCCCAAAAGAAUAAUUGUGCAACUAGUGUAAACAUUUAAAAAUUGCAAGCAAGCAACACAAAAUGGAUUAAACAUUCAAAGAUUUUAGUACUUUUUGC